AAAUCUCUCUCUCUCUCUCUCUCUCUCCUUCCACCAUCACAGCUGACGCAGAAACGUACGGCAAUGGCGAUUCCUUGUUGAGCUCUACUCCAUUUUUUUCUCGUAGAAAGAGAAGCUCUGGGCCCUGUGGAUGAUUAGAAGAAGAAAAGUUUGAUCAUCUUAUGUUCUUUGUUUGCUUUAUUUUUUCUGAUCUUUUGAGAAUUAUCCUAGAGCUAUAGUAUUUUCUAUUGAUUAUUACGGUUCAUUUUGUUUUGAGAUUUCAGAUCUUAGUUUCAGAAACUAGAGUUUUGAUUUAUUUUCCUCCAUUUUAUCGUAGAUGUUGCUUAUAUAAUCUCAUUUGGUUUAGGCCAUUUUCAGGUUAUCUGUUCAUCUGGUUAGAAACAUAUUCAGAUCCAGGUGGUUAAAUUUGAAAAUCAGUUUUCGAUUUUUUGUUUUAGUGUUUGUUUUAUGGUUUGGUUUUCCUGUGAAGAUCAACUCGUGUUGUCUCCGGACGCAGCGGUUUACCGAUCUCUUCCUGUAGCGUUUGUUUAAUGGAUUGAUUGCCGAUUGAAGUGAAAGACAGAACAGGAAUCGGUCGAUAAACCUCUGCAUCCGUUGCUGUUUUAGCUAUUGUGCUCAAGAUCUUGGUAACUUACCACCUAUUUCUCAAUGUAUGUUCACCUGAGUAUGGAUUAAAGUUCACACUCAAGUACUAAGAUGAUGUUCUUUAUCUGUAUACCUUGUUCUGUUAAACCAAAUGAAGGUUACAGUAAUCUAUUUGUGGUAUAAUGUUCAGAAUUCUGUGAAGGUUGCAUUGUUCUUGAAGUUUUCGUACAGUAGUGAGGAGAAAAGAUGGUAAUGGGCUUCUACUUUCUCAGGAAGUUGCGAUUCUGGUUGUUGGGUCUGAGCAUGAAUAAAAAUGAGUAGAUGAUAGAUUGAAUACGAUAUAGAAAACUUUGGAAUGUUUCAUUCUGAGAAAAAUAAGUAAGAUCUUGUCUUCUGGAGCCGAGUAAUAAGCAUGGCUUGAGAAAUGAAACAGAUCUAGACAAUGGUUCUGGAGGUGAUUCUUGCAUUGUUAACUUUCUGGUUGAUCUCUUUGGCCAGUCCUUGCUUGAUAUUGUAUUGUAAUAGUUUCAGCGCAAGUCUAUUGCAAUAUAUUUAAUCUGAUUAAUGUUGCAUUAAA
Molecule: long non-coding RNA, 1162 nt
Organism: Macadamia integrifolia
Lineage: Eukaryota; Viridiplantae; Streptophyta; Magnoliopsida; Proteales; Proteaceae
Exons: 2
Source: RefSeq, a predicted model, not a curated record